CCAGACUCCUACGGGAGGCAGCAGUGGGGGAUAUUGCACAAUGGGGGAAACCCUGAUGCAGCGACGCCGCGUGGGCGAAGAAGUAUUUCGGUAUGUAAAGCCCUAUCAGCAGGGAAGAAGAAAUGACGGUACCUGACUAAGAAGCCCCGGCUAACUACGUGCCAGCAGCCGCGGUAAUACGUAGGGGGCAAGCGUUAUCCGGAUUUACUGGGUGUAAAGGGAGCGUAGACGGCGAUGCAAGUCUGAAGUGAAAGGCGGGGGCCCAACCCCCGGACUGCUUUGGAAACUGUAUGGCUGGAGUGCAGGAGAGGUAAGUGGAAUUCCUAGUGUAGCGGUGAAAUGCGUAGAUAUACGGAGGAACACCAGUGGCGAAGGCGGAUUGCUGGACAGUAACUGACGCUGAGGCGCGAAAGCGUGGGGAGCAAACAGGAUUAGAUACCCUGGUA
RNAcentral lists this ribosomal RNA (446 nucleotides) under uncultured bacterium. RNAcentral's name for it is "bacterial SSU rRNA". It matches the Rfam family "Bacterial small subunit ribosomal RNA", at positions 331 to 792 of the family's 1533-position model. The record is from RNAcentral.